GAUUUCUGGUAUGACGUGUCCGGCCUAGUGUGGCAACACAUUAUGUGCCGGUGUGCGUCUGCCAUCUUUCCAGAGAACGGCGCUACCCUUUAUUGGGCCGGUGUCGCCAUCUGGAUCUUUUACUUUGAAAAAAUUAGAGUGUUUAAAGCAGGCGUUUGCUCUGAAUACAUUAGCAUGGAAUAAUAAUCUAGGACUUCGGUUCUAUUUUGUUGGUUUCUAUAACUGAAGUAAUGAUUGAUAGGGAUAGUUGGGGGUGCUAGUAUUGGCCGGUCAGAGGUGAAAUUCUUGGAUUCGGUCAAGACUAACUUAUGCGAAAGCAUU
RNAcentral lists this ribosomal RNA (321 nucleotides) under uncultured Protaspa. RNAcentral's name for it is "SSU rRNA". The stretch from base 104 to 321 matches the Rfam family "Eukaryotic small subunit ribosomal RNA", at positions 736 to 955 of the family's 1831-position model. Lineage: Eukaryota; Cercozoa; Thecofilosea; Cryomonadida. The record is from RNAcentral.